GGCUUUACACAUGUUAGUCGAGCGGGCGUAGCAAUACGUCACCGGCAGACGGGUGAGUAACGCGUGGGAACGUACCUUUUGGUUCGGAACAACACAGGGAAACUUGUGCUAAUACCGGAUAAGCCCUUACGGGGAAAGAUUUAUCGCCGAAAGAUCGGCCCGCGUCUGAUUAGCUAGUUGGUGAGGUAAUGGCUCACCAAGGCGACGAUCAGUAGCUGGUCUGAGAGGAUGAUCAGCCACAUUGGGACUGAGACACGGCCCAAACUCCUACGGGAGGCAGCAGUGGGGAAUAUUGGACAAUGGGGGCAACCCUGAUCCAGCCAUGCCGCGUGAGUGAUGAAGGCCCUAGGGUUGUAAAGCUCUUUUGUGCGGGAAGAUAAUGACGGUACCGCAAGAAUAAGCCCCGGCUAACUUCGUGCCAGCAGCCGCGGUAAUACGAAGGGGGCUAGCGUUGCUCGGAAUCACUGGGCGUAAAGGGUGCGUAGGCGGGUCUUUAAGUCAGGGGUGAAAUCCUGGAGCUCAACUCCAGAACUGCCUUUGAUACUGAAGAUCUUGAGUCCGGGAGAGGUGAGUGGAACUGCGAGUGUAGAGGUGAAAUUCGUAGAUAUUCGCAAGAACACCAGUGGCGAAGGCGGCUCACUGGCCCGGUACUGACGCUGAGGCACGAAAGCGUGGGGAGCAAACAAGAUUAGAUACCCUGGUAGUCCACGCCGUAAGCGAUGAAUGCCUGCCGUUAGUGGGUUUACUCACUACUGGCGCAGCUCACGCUUUAAGCAUUCCGCCUGGCGAGGACGGUCGCAAGAUUAAAACUCAAUGGAAAUGACUGGGGCCCGCACAAGCGGUGGAGCAUGUGGUUUAAUUCGACGCAACGCGCAGAACCAUACCAGCCCUUGACAUGUCCAGGACCGGUCCCAGAGAUGUGACCCUCUCUUCGCAGCCUGGAGCACAGGUGCUGCAUGGCUGUCGUCAGCUCGUGUCGUGAGAUGUUGGGGUGAGUCCCGGAAUGAGCGCAAACCCCGUCCUUAGUUGCUACCAUUUAGUUGAUCACUCUAAGGAGACUGCCGGUGAUAAGGCGCUAGAACGGUGGGGAUGACGGCAAGUCCUCAUGUCCCUUCCGGGCUUGGCUACACGCCUGCUACAAUUGCCGUGACAAUGGGUUGCUAGGGGG
Molecule: ribosomal RNA, 1168 nt
Filed under: Bradyrhizobium sp.
Lineage: Bacteria; Pseudomonadati; Pseudomonadota; Alphaproteobacteria; Hyphomicrobiales; Nitrobacteraceae
Description: bacterial SSU rRNA
Rfam family: Bacterial small subunit ribosomal RNA
Source: RNAcentral